GAUCAACGCUGGCGGCGUGCAUGAGACAUGCAAGUCGAACGAAGGAUCGGGCUUGCUCGAUCCUUAGUGGCGGACGGCUGAGUAACGCGUAGGUGACCUACCCCGAAGUGGGGAAUAACUGCCCGAAAGGGUGGCUAAUACCGCAUGUGGUCGCACGUUCAUUCGUGCGAGUAAAGCCGCAAGGCGCUUCGGGAGGGGCCUGCGUCCGAUUAGCUCGUUGGUGGGGUAAUGGCUUACCAAGGCGACGAUCGGUAGGUGGUCUGAGAGGACGAUCACCCAGACUGGGACUGAGACACGGCCCAGACUCCUACGGGAGGCAGCAGUCGGGAAUGUUGCUCAAUGGGGGAAACCCUGAAGCAGCAACGCCGCGUGAGGGAUGAAGGCCUUCGGGUUGUAAACCUCUUUUGUCAGGGACGAUGAUGACGGUACCUGGCGAAUAAGCCACGGCUAACUACGUG
RNAcentral lists this ribosomal RNA (458 nucleotides) under uncultured bacterium. RNAcentral's name for it is "partial 16S ribosomal RNA". It matches the Rfam family "Bacterial small subunit ribosomal RNA", at positions 28 to 507 of the family's 1533-position model. The record is from RNAcentral.